UACGUAGGGUGCAAGCGUUAAUCGGAAUUACUGGGCGUAAAGCGUGCGCAGGCGGUUUCGUAAGACAGAGGUGAAAUCCCCGGGCUCAACCUGGGAACUGCCUUUGUGACUGCGAGGCUAGAGUACGGCAGAGGGGGGUGGAAUUCCACGUGUAGCAGUGAAAUGCGUAGAGAUGUGGAGGAACACCGAUGGCGAAGGCAGCCCCCUGGGCCGAUACUGACGCUCAUGCACGAAAGCGUGGGUAGCAAAC
RNAcentral lists this ribosomal RNA (250 nucleotides) under uncultured beta proteobacterium. Its description in RNAcentral is "partial 16S ribosomal RNA". It matches the Rfam family "Bacterial small subunit ribosomal RNA", at positions 524 to 773 of the family's 1533-position model. Lineage: Bacteria; Pseudomonadati; Pseudomonadota; Betaproteobacteria. The record is from RNAcentral.